UAAGGAACGAGUUUGGAAACAAAUUGCAACAGACUUGCAAGUUAAAGGUGGAGUCGAGGAAUGCAAGAAAAAGUGGACAUCAGUUCGUGAUCAGCUACGGAAGACUUUGCAGAAAAGGAAAACCAGCUCAGGACAAGCUGCUGUGCGUCAGCACAAAUAUAAGUACGAAGACCUCUUAAUGUUCUUGCUACCCCACAUUGCAGAACGAGAGACAAUUUCCAAUGUUCUAUAUAAUCCCGAAGGAGAGGAGGGUGAACAUGAAUCUACUUUAGAAGAAUCUCAAGACGAGGAUUCUAAUAUUCAAGAUUUUGCGCAAAAAAAUAGUGGAAAUGAGGAACCUAUAACUGAAAAUCAGGACAGUGAAACACAAAGUGGAAUAACUGCUCAGUCUUCGCAAAUGCCCCCGGCAGGGUCCUCCCUCUCUUCCAAUAAUAAAAACAAAUUUGUAAGGCCGCCGUUAAAACGAAAAUUUCAGCAUGAGCGCCAUCUACAACAAUCACCGUCAAGCCAGCUCAUGACUUAUAUUUUAGCAGAAAAAGAAGCUGAAAAAGUAGCUAAUAAACGUUCAAGAGAGAGGGAAGAGCAACAUCCGGUUGAUGCUUUUUUAGCGGGUAUAGCACCAGCCCUUAAAUCGCUGCAUCCGAUACUUUUUAAUCAGGCGAAAGGAAGCAUUUUUUCAAUUGUACAAGAGUUUGAAUUAAAGCAACUCACAAAUAAUAGUUACCCUCAGAAUCAGUAUAUUCCUCCGAUUUCGCCAGCAUCUUCGUCGCUAACUGUUCCAACGCCAGAACCUUCACCUGUACAAUCAUUGUCUAGUCCUACAUACUUUGAAUUUUAGGCAAAAUGCGGAAAAAUAUGUCACCACUACUAACGAGCCUUUUUUAAAAGUUUUUUGCUAUAAUAAUAUAAUUUGUUUAUUAAAUA
This 924-nucleotide long non-coding RNA is filed under the name Anthonomus grandis grandis. RNAcentral describes it as "uncharacterized LOC126743030". The record is from RNAcentral. Lineage: Eukaryota; Metazoa; Arthropoda; Insecta; Coleoptera; Curculionidae.